Molecule: ribosomal RNA, 629 nt
Filed under: Salmonella enterica
Lineage: Bacteria; Pseudomonadati; Pseudomonadota; Gammaproteobacteria; Enterobacterales; Enterobacteriaceae
Also listed under: 1 other name
Description: partial 23S ribosomal RNA
Rfam family: Bacterial large subunit ribosomal RNA
Source: RNAcentral
AGACCCGAAACCCGGUGAUCUAGCCAUGGGCAGGUUGAAGGUUGGGUAACACUAACUGGAGGACCGAACCGACUAAUGUUGAAAAAUUAGCGGAUGACCUGUGGCUGGGGGUGAAAGGCCAAUCAAACCGGGAGAUAGCUGGUUCUCCCCGAAAGCUAUUUAGGUAGCGCCUCGUGAAUUCAUCUCCGGGGGUAGAGCACUGUUUCGGCUAGGGGGCCAUCCCGGCUUACCAACCCGAUGCAAACUGCGAAUACCGGAGAAUGUUAUCACGGGAGACACACGGCGGGUGCUAACGUCCGUCGUGAAGAGGGAAACAACCCAGACCGCCAGCUAAGGUCCCAAAGUCAUGGUUAAGUGGGAAACGAUGUGGGAAGGCCCAGACAGCCAGGAUGUUGGCUUAGAAGCAGCCAUCAUUUAAAGAAAGCGUAAUAGCUCACUGGUCGAGUCGGCCUGCGCGGAAGAUGUAACGGGGCUAAACCAUGCACCGAAGCUGCGGCAGCGAACGUAUCACCCAAGACAACUUUACGGAGUUGACGAUUGACGGAGCGAAGCGACGUCAAAGCGUUCAUUAAAGUCGAGUUGGCUUAGGGAUACGUUCGUUGGGUAGGGGAGCGUUCUGUAAGCCUGUG